CAAUACAUAUCUAGUAGUCUCAACGAUGCAGGAUGUAGCUGAGGCGGUUGCAGAGUGCUUCACUUCACACCUUUGAGACCCAAGCGUUGGUUUUGAAGUGCUGUUUUUGAUGUUCUUCAGCAGCUCUGCAUGAUGGGAGAGUGACAAAUCCAAAUCCAGCGUCCCAAACAUCUGCUCGUCAACCUGCGGGUGACAGUACACAAGCCAAUCAAAUCAUCCAUGGCAUUAUGAGUGAGGUCCAAUCUUCUGCACAGCGCUAGUCACGCAAUGCUGUGUGCGCAAACCUCCAGCAACUUUUCAACCCCUGCACACAAGAAAGCCAUCAAGUACCUGCAAUUGACAGAAUCGCGUGCAAUUCAGGUACUCCUGGACUGGACUGGAUCGCAGCCAAAAGGGCGAAGUAAAAAGUGGAAUGGAACGGUGCCAGGUCCUGUGUGAACAGGGAGUAAUGUAUGAGGAAGGAAAGUAUAAUAAAGACUGAUAUAACUUCUAUGUGAAUAUACUUUUUUAUUUAUUCAUGGUUUUUUUUCUUUGGCUUAGGUCAGAGUUUAUCAACUUUACUCCCUUAUCCCAGCUUUGUUGUCACUUAUAUCCUCUCUGCUGUGUUUUAGUCUUAAACGCUUCAUCAGAGUACUUCUUAAAUAUGAUGAAGUUAAAAAAAAACAGUCUAAUACACAACAAAAUCACAAAUAAUAGCAAACAUGUAUGCAAGCUUUGAGUCCACAGUCCACAGUGAGUGAGAAGAAAUGUCCAACUUUACUUAGCUUCAGCUUAUUGUAAGUAAGUGGGUUCUGUUCUGAUUUUGAUCUGUGCUCCAUUCCCGUGAAUCCAGGCCUUGUUUUGAAGCUUGAGAGCGUGAUCCAGGCAAUACAAGCAAGCCUGGAGGUGGUUAGGACAUGAAAGUGAGUUAACUCCACUUACCGUCAUGCAUUGCGCAACUACGUUUGGUGAAAACAGCAUGUGCUGAGGCGCUCCGCACAAACUAUGGCUCAGUGAAGCUGCGGCUCUUGACGAGAGCGCGUCGUGUCAGCAGAGACUCUGGCUGCAGCUGCCGCAGAGACCAUCAUUGCGCUGGACCUUGAGGAGGAAUCAGCAUCUUCGGAAAUAAUCGUUCUGAUUGAUUUGCUGGAUUUGCCUGGGCGUAAAUCGUUUAAUGCUGGGGCUCUUUGGACGCAUUAACGGGAUUAAUGGCGACAUUGACAAACGUGGAGAAGUUAUUAUUAUUAUUGUUUUGUUUUUUUGUUUAAACGUGAUCACGAUGACAGCAGCUGAUGGAUUGAAAACUCCAGCUAUGGAUCUUUUCGCGUGUUAUAAGGAAAUGGUGACUUCAGUCUGGGAUGAGUUUCUACUCCUGCCACAGAUUCAGCUGCUGGACAAGUCUCUUGGGAUAUUUGGGAUACACGCGUGGUCAAGUGCUGACAUUUUUAUAGAUGGUCAAUGUUAUAUGCUGAUUUCGAAAAUGAAAUCUGUAUUUGGUGGAUUUUUAUUUUUGCACAGUUGGAUAUCUUGGAUUAUAUUUUGGAAGCUGUGCUCCAGUGGAUGUCCAGUGAUUUGGAUAAUAUGUGCGCAUCUCCUGAUUCCGCAGUGAAGGAAUCCAAAUUCUCGAGAUGAGAGUUCAACCUUUAAUUGCAUCCUAGUGAUCUUCUGAUGAUCUCAGGUGAGCACCAAGAAGGGGCUGAGUAAUGGAAACAUGACCUCAAGAGAUUCAACAGGAUCAUACUAAAUCCCGGUUUGGACUGUUGGACCAGCAUCCUCUGAAGCAGAUGUUUGCUCCUGGCACGGCUGCCGACAACAUGAGCUCCAACACUGGCAAUCUAGCUCUCAGGAUUCAGUGAGCAGCGUGAGCUUGGAGAAGCUAUGACAUAAACGCAGCAGGACGGUGAAUCGCGUUUUGCUGCUCAGACAUCAUGGAACAGAUCAGUCAGCCCCAUCUGGAGAAGUGCUCUAUAGAAGAGUCAUAUAUUUGCCAUAGUUACUUUGAUGGAUACAGCAUAUUGUUUGACUUUAUUUUUCUAAUUGAUUUUAAUAGAAAUGAUCAUUUCCCUCCAUCUAUGUAUCUUCUCUUGUUUUUCAGAUUUUAAUUACAGUGUCGCUCAUUCAGUAACUUCAGCAUUUACUGUGUGAUUUUUGUCAUUUUUGUUCAUGUGACUGUUUUCAAAGUGGCUCUUAUAAAACUGCAGAAGAAAGUUUAUCCAGGGAGGAGCACAAAAAAUGUCUCCUACUGUGUAAAAAGACUUAAUGCACAUGUGAUUGAGAUUGAUCAGAGGAAUCACUCAGUCAGUGGAUCUGUGAUUUUCAUCUUCUUACUGCAGCGACAAAGAAGCCAUUGUCAUUAAUGUAAAACCAUGAUUUCUCCUUCUGACGCUGCAUUUUAUUGUGACACAUUGGCAGCUUCUGCUAAUUUCAGUUAAUAAUCCUUUUAAGCAGUUUAUUCUCAUUAUGAUUUAUGACUCCAUAGCUUUUGUUGUUUUUGUUAAGCCCUGUUAGCAGAAAUUAAAAGGUGUAUCCAA
Oreochromis aureus is the source of this 2510-nucleotide long non-coding RNA. RefSeq lists it as uncharacterized. NCBI's taxonomy places the organism in Eukaryota, Metazoa, Chordata, Actinopteri, Cichliformes, Cichlidae. The transcript has 6 exons. The record is from RefSeq and is a predicted model, not a curated record.